This is an RNA transcript of Vitis riparia (riverbank grape), 1968 nucleotides long. It is a transcript of the gene named sarcolemmal membrane-associated protein, with no coding region annotated. The record is from RefSeq and is a predicted model, not a curated record. The transcript is spliced from 4 exons. NCBI's taxonomy places the organism in Eukaryota, Viridiplantae, Streptophyta, Magnoliopsida, Vitales, Vitaceae.
CGUUAAUUUUAGUGGAAUAACUUAUAAGGGCAAAAAGAAUUUUAUUUGAAAGGGUAAUUUUGUCAUAAAAAGUAACAACUUCCUCGGGGGAAAGGGCUUUUCAGUGGGCGACAUCGAAUCAGCCUUCUUGUCGCAUAGCAAAAGGUCGGAAUGGUCCAAACCAUAACAACCUGAAAGGCCAGCGGAGAAUCCGUUGGAGUGGAAGAAACCGUUGGAGUGGUGUCUGCACGUUGGAGUGGUGUCUGCUGCACCCUUGGCUAUUGCGACUUCUCAUUUUCCACACCUCUAAACCUUUCUCUUCUCUCCUUUCCUAUUCUCUUCCAAAUCCAAUUUAUCCCCCAUUUUUCACAACUGGAGUCUGUUCAGCUUCCGGUUAACAGAACCCUCAAUCUCUUUCCCCAUUUCCAAACCCUUUUCGUCCGUACAUUGAACUUAAACAAUGGAGUAUGAUCCAGAAGUUGUGGUGCUCGAUGAUAAAGAGGAUGGUCUUAGCGGCCGCGGCGUUCAUCAGUUAAUAUCUUCGCUGAAAUCGUCGUUUCGGCUUCCGGAUUUCAACAAGGUUGAGGAGUAUUUGACGCUGAGGGAGCAGCAGUUGAAGCAAGAGAGGGAUGAGUUGGAGGCGAAAAUGAAGAAAAUUUCAGACGGAUUGUUGGCUGAGAUUCAGAAGAAGGAGAUCGAGAAUGAGUUUCUUGAGCGAAAACAUGCAGACGAGGUUUUGGAGAAACUGGUGCUUGAAGAGGAUUUGAGGAAGUGUAAGAGAGAGUGCGAGGAUCUUGAAGAGAAGGUGAAUCGAUUGAGCGAAGAUCAGAAGGUGAUGUGUGGUAGAGAGAAGAGGGCUGAGGAAAGGUAUGGGAAGUUGAUGGAAGAAUUGAAGAAAAGCGAGGAAUGCAGCGCUCAAUUAAACUGUAAAAAUAGAGAACUGGAGUGUGAGAAGAGAAGGAUUGAGGCUGAAAUUGAGAUGUGGAAGAGGAGAUUUGGGGAGUUGGAGUCCAGGGUUUUGGCUUUGGAAAAAGACACUGAGGUGCUGAAGAGGCCAGAACCCAACUUUUGUGAGAGUAUGAAGGGGAACUUGGGAGUGAGAAAUUCAGGUUUUUUUGAAUGGAGAGCAGAGAAAGAAGCGGGUAGCCUUCGAAAAGUUAAGAAUGAAAUGGACAUCGAAUCAACCAGUGUGAGCUUGGAGAACAAGAAAAUCAAUGAAAUUAGUGCCAGUUAUCAUACCCCAACUCAAAGAAUCAUGGAUUUGCAGAAUGGAGGUAGUGGAAGACCUGCAUUUGUAGGAUCAGUGGACAUCAGUGACAGUGACGAUGAAAUGCCCAAAGUAAUUAGAAAUGCUUCAACUGAUCGUGCCUCCAAAGAAGUUUUAAGUGGAAAACAGCAACCAUCUCAAAGCAUGAAAAAUGUCAUGUUUUUUAGUGGGACAGGUCCUGAAGAUACACUCAAAAGAAAACAAGAAAUUUUAGAUUGGUUGGGUGAGGAAGAUUCUCUGAAAGUAAAACAAGCUUCUUCUUCAACACAUAAUCCAGUGUUUUUGAAGCGGUUGAAAGCUACAAUUAAUGCUGAAGAAAAUAUCAGGGAUACAUAUGAUAUUUCAGACAGUGAUGAUAGUUCUGACUCUGAAAGUGAAGCAGAUGGGGUUUUUCCCUUUGAUCCAGUUAUAUCAAUUGCUCUCAGCAACCAAAAAGGAUGAUACACUAAGGUUUGAGGGAUGCUGAUUUUGGUUGAGCCUGGUUUAACAAAUGGUUCUAUAAGUUCCAGCAAGGUAUUCAAUGCUGCUUCAAUGUUGGUUGUUCAGAUUUGUCCAGCAUAAAAAAAGCUGCUUUUGCUAAGGUCAACCAGGUAACCUAAGAAAUUGAUCGUAGAGUUGUAGAAGUAUGAAUGACAGAACAGACUAACCAUUGAGCACCAUUGUAAAAUCAAUUUUACUGCCACAAAAAGUUCUGGAAUGAUGGGAGGAGUUUUUUGAUUUUC